RNAcentral lists this ribosomal RNA (472 nucleotides) under uncultured bacterium. RNAcentral's name for it is "bacterial SSU rRNA". It matches the Rfam family "Bacterial small subunit ribosomal RNA", at positions 355 to 825 of the family's 1533-position model. The record is from RNAcentral.
UGGGGAAUAUUGGACAAUGGGCGAAAGCCUGAUCCAGCCAUGCCGCGUGUGUGAAGAAGGUCUUCGGAUUGUAAAGCUCUUUCGGCGGGGACGAAACGGUCCGUGACAACACCACGGACUAAUGACAGUACUCGCAGAAGAAGCACCGGCUAACUACGUGCCAGCAGCCGCGGUAAUACGUAGGGUGCAGGCGUUAAUCGGAAUUACUGGGCGUAAAGCGUGCGCAGGCGGCUCCUUAAGUCAGAUGUGAAAUCCCCGGGCUUAACCUGGGAACUGCGUUUGAAACUGAGGGGCUAGAGUGUGGAAGAGGGGGGUGGAAUUCCAGGUGUAGCAGUGAAAUGCGUAGAGAUCUGGAGGAACACCGAUGGCGAAGGCAGCCCCCUGGGCUAACACUGACGCUCAUGCACGAAAGCGUGGGGAGCAAACAGGAUUAGAUACCCGUGUAGUCCCUGAGCGGGCUGGCAAGGCGCAU